Long non-coding RNA from Phoenix dactylifera (date palm), 1053 nucleotides. RefSeq lists it as uncharacterized. NCBI's taxonomy places the organism in Eukaryota, Viridiplantae, Streptophyta, Magnoliopsida, Arecales, Arecaceae. The record is from RefSeq and is a predicted model, not a curated record.
CCCCCCCUCUCUCUCUCGGAAAGUUGAAGUCCCAUUACUUUACCUAUGCAUUGAUUCAUUUCCUGCAGAGAAAUGAGGGCUACAGCUCGGCGACCGGCUUCGAAUUGGUUCCCUCCUUCGACCUCCUCCACUUCUAGAGAUCCUUACACUCACCACCUUUUGCUAUGAUGGCUGUGGAAAAUAUUUCAGGCUCUCAUCCUGCAGAAGUACAGAAUUUGGGUAUAUUUUCGCUCAAGUUAAAAAAGUUCAGAGCAGUGUGCAGAACAGGAGAAAAUUCGUUUUCAGAUAAGGGGGUGAAGCUAUUACUGCUUCCUGCUUUUGGAAAACUUGUAUUUUUGCACUGUGAUGCUUGAAUUUAUGUUAUCAUCUAUAUUUACACUGGACUCCUUUUAGGGGCCCUAUAUGUAUACACUGACAUAGCAAAGCUUAUAACUUGACAAAAUACCUGCUUCUGUGCACAUGCUGAUACACCUGUUACCGAUUAUGUUUCUUUAUACAUGAUAAAUAACUUUCUGUUCAUUGAAUUGCAUUGUACUUUCAAAAACCAAAACAUUCUAGAAUUCAUUAUGGUGAAUCUGAACAGGGGCCAGCGAUCACACCAUUCAAUUUUCCAUUGCAGGGUCCCCUAUUGCAACUGAUGGGUGCACUAUGUAUGGGCAAUAAACUGACUCUGAAAUUUGAUAGCAAAGGUAUGCAAGUAGAAUUUAUUUUAUUGGAAUGUAUCGAUUUCAUCCAUGGAAAUUUUGCCAGUUGUUUAUCAGGAAAUGACAAUCAGAUGCUUCGCAGACAGAAAGCUAAAUACUGCCUAUCAUUGUGUAAACUAAAGAAUAUCGAUAGCGGUUGCAGACAAGGAUAGCGUGCUGUAUGUAUAGGAUUUUGAGUUCAUGACCUAGAAAUGUGUUUUCUGAUAGAUCAAUUCGAAGUGUAAGAAGGAAAGGACGCUUGUGCACAUGUGUAAACCAUUUGGGUCUUUGUCCAAUCAUUUAUAUCCACUGAUAUUUGUAUUGGCUGUUUGAAGAUAUGCCUUCAUUUUUAUCUACUUCAUUGUUGUUC